This 71-nucleotide transfer RNA is filed under the name Candidatus Woesebacteria bacterium CG06_land_8_20_14_3_00_39_27. RNAcentral's name for it is "tRNA-Lys". It matches the Rfam family "tRNA". From Rfam's summary of the family: Transfer RNA (tRNA) molecules are approximately 80 nucleotides in length. Their secondary structure includes four short double-helical elements and three loops (D, anti-codon, and T loops). Further hydrogen bonds mediate the characteristic L-shaped molecular structure. tRNAs have two regions of fundamental functional importance: the anti-codon, which is responsible for specific mRNA codon recognition, and the 3' end, to which the tRNAs corresponding amino acid is attached (by aminoacyl-tRNA synthetases). tRNAs cope with the degeneracy of the genetic code in two manners: having more than one tRNA (with a specific anti-codon) for a particular amino acid; and 'wobble' base-pairing, i.e. permitting non-standard base-pairing at the 3rd anti-codon position. Lineage: Bacteria; Candidatus Woeseibacteriota. The record is from RNAcentral.
GCUAGCUCAACUGGUAGAGCACCACUCUCUUAAAGUGGUUGUUCUGGGUCCGAGUCCCAGGCGGCUCACCA